AUGGUAGUAGUACUAGUAGAAUUGAGAUUGAAUGCACUUUCUUCCCCGUCUUCCACUCUUCUUCCUCCUCUCUUCCCCAUCGUCGGCCGCACACCAUUUACCCCCGCUCACUGCUCGCCCGCUCGCGCCAUCUUCCUUGGUAGCUCGCGCCAGACGCAAAUGCGCUGGCCUUCAUUAUUCCAGGACCUGGAAUCAUACCGGCCGAUGGUACCAUAUAACUGGAAUUACCGAUGCAAGUCGAAGAAGGAUUGGCCGGUGCUGCCGGCUAGCGUCAAGUUCGAUCCCACGGAUCAGGAGCUGAUCGAGCACCUUGAGGCCAAAGUGAGUGCUGACAGCGCGAGAUUUCAGUCUCUCAUCGAUUUGUUCAUACCAACCAUCGACAGUGAGCACGGCAUAUGCUACACCCAACCUGAGAAACUUCCAGCGCAAUUCCAGGGCCUUCAAAAGGGGCACGUGGACGCGUCGCAAGAUACAGUCGGAGUGCGGCAUGCACGUGAUGUGGCACAAGGCCGGCAAUACCUUGCCGGUGAUGGUCAACGGCCGGCAAGAUGGGCAGCAAAAAAGGUUCUGGUGCUGCACACCAACAAGAACUUCGACCAGCAGAGGACCAACUGGGUGAUGCACCAGUACCACCUCGGGGACCUGGAGCAAGAGAAGGAGCGGGAGCUAGUCCUCUGCAAGAUUUUCUACCAGACGAACACUAGGGCCAGGAGUCGAGCAAGUUUCAACUGGGCUGUAGACUGCCCAGGGUUGGUUUUGUUUUUAACAGGCCCAGCCCAUGACGACAACGGGGCACAAAGAUCCAGCAGGUAG
This 813-nucleotide ribosomal RNA is filed under the name Triticum aestivum (bread wheat). RNAcentral's name for it is "partial small subunit ribosomal RNA". Lineage: Eukaryota; Viridiplantae; Streptophyta; Magnoliopsida; Poales; Poaceae. The record is from RNAcentral.